UUGCGCACAAUCAGCAAUUUCACUUAUGAAAUGGUCAGUAACCAGAGAGACCCCGCCAGGGAGGGCGGGGUCAGGAAGCAUAGGCAUGGAUGCCGUUGCUUCCGGUUCGUCCGUUUGAAUACCACAUAUCCAUUUCAUUAGUGAAAUCUGAUUGGAAGCUC
Molecule: regulatory RNA element, 161 nt
Organism: Lachnospiraceae bacterium 28-4
Lineage: Bacteria; Bacillati; Bacillota; Clostridia; Lachnospirales; Lachnospiraceae
Source: Rfam